Molecule: ribosomal RNA, 493 nt
Filed under: uncultured bacterium
Lineage: Bacteria
Description: partial 16S ribosomal RNA
Rfam family: Bacterial small subunit ribosomal RNA
Source: RNAcentral
GAUGAACGCUAGCGGCAGGCCUAACACAUGCAAGUCGAGGGGUAGAAGGCUUCGGCCUUUGAGACCGGCGCACGGGUGCGUAACGCGUAUGCAAUCUGCCUUACACUGGGGGAUAGCCCAGAGAAAUUUGGAUUAAUACCCCAUAGUAUUUUUGCCUGGCAUCAGGUGAUUAUUAAAGUUUUUCGGUGUAAGAUGAGCAUGCGUCCCAUUAGCUAGUUGGUAUUGUAACGGCAUACCAAGGCAAUGAUGGGUAGGGGUCCUGAGAGGGAGAUCCCCCACACUGGUACUGAGACACGGACCAGACUCCUACGGGAGGCAGCAGUGAGGAAUAUUGGUCAAUGGGCGAGAGCCUGAACCAGCCAUGCCGCGUGCAGGAUGAAGCAUCUAUGGUGUGUAAACUGCUUUUGUACGGGAAGAAACACCUCUACGUGUAGAGGCUUGACGGUACCGUAAGAAUAAGGAUCGGCUAACUCCGUGCCAGCCGCCGCUGUAA